AAGGCCCCUUCGGGGGUACACGAGCGGCGAACGGGUGAGUAACGCGUGGGUAGUCUACCUGGAAGUGGGGGAUAGCUCCGGGAAACCGGAGAUAAUACCGCAUGAAGUCCAGACAGUGCGAGCUGACUGGAAAAAAGAUGGGGAUCUUCGGACCUGUCGCUUUCAGAUGAGCCCGCGUCCGAUUAGCUUGUUGGCGGGGUAACGGCCCACCAAGGCUCCGAUCGGUAGCCGGCCUGAGAGGGUGAUCGGCCACAUUGGGACUGAGACACGGCCCAGACUCCUACGGGAGGCAGCAGUGGGGAAUUUUGGGCAAUGGGGGAAACCCUGACCCAGCGACGCCGCGCGGAGGAUGAAGGUUUUCGAAUUGUAAACUCCUGUCAGGUGGGAAGAAGGCUCCCAGGUGAAUAGCCUGGGUAGUUUGACGGUACCACCAAAGGAAGCCCCGGCUAACUCCGUGCCAGCAGCCGCGGUAAUACGGAGGGGGCAAGCGUUGUUCGGAAUUACUGGGCGUAAAGCGCACGUAGGCGGCUAGGUAAGUCAAAGGUGAAAGCCCUCGGCUCAACCGGGGAACGGCCUUUGAAACUGCUUUGCUUGAGUCCGGGAGGGGGGAGCAGAAUUCCCAGUGGAGCGGUGAAAUGCGUAGAUACUGGGAGGAAUACCGGUGGCGAAGGCGGCUCCCUGGACCGGUACUGACGCUGAGGUGCGAAAGCGUGGGUAGCAAACAGGAUUAGAUACCCUGGUAGUCCACGCCGUAAACGAUGGGCACUAGUUGCAGCGGGUGUCGACCCCUGCUGUGACGAA
RNAcentral lists this ribosomal RNA (801 nucleotides) under uncultured bacterium. RNAcentral describes it as "bacterial SSU rRNA". It matches the Rfam family "Bacterial small subunit ribosomal RNA", at positions 71 to 850 of the family's 1533-position model. The record is from RNAcentral.